RNAcentral lists this ribosomal RNA (709 nucleotides) under Salmonella enterica subsp. enterica serovar Bonn. RNAcentral describes it as "partial 23S ribosomal RNA". The stretch from base 88 to 709 matches the Rfam family "Bacterial large subunit ribosomal RNA", at positions 566 to 1190 of the family's 2925-position model. Lineage: Bacteria; Pseudomonadati; Pseudomonadota; Gammaproteobacteria; Enterobacterales; Enterobacteriaceae. The record is from RNAcentral.
CCACCACCAAAGCAUUCUCUGGUGUUGAAGGCCCUGCAAAGCAGCAUCGCGGUGGCGGAGCGUCGUUUGCGACGCCCAACACACAAAACAAGCGGUGAAUGCUUUGGGGUGGGGUGACUGCGUACCUUUUGUAUAAUGGGUCAGCGACUUAUAUUCUGUAGCAAGGUUAACCGUAUAGGGGAGCCGGAGGGAAACCGAGUCUUAACCGGGCGUUAAGUUGCAGGGUAUAGACCCGAAACCCGGUGAUCUAGCCAUGGGCAGGUUGAAGGUUGGGUAACACUAACUGGAGGACCGAACCGACUAAUGUUGAAAAAUUAGCGGAUGACCUGUGGCUGGGGGUGAAAGGCCAAUCAAACCGGGAGAUAGCUGGUUCUCCCCGAAAGCUAUUUAGGUAGCGCCUCGUGAACUCAUCUCCGGGGGUAGAGCACUGUUUCGGCUAGGGGGCCAUCCCGGCUUACCAACCCGAUGCAAACUGCGAAUACCGGAGAAUGUUAUCACGGGAGACACACGGCGGGUGCUAACGUCCGUCGUGAAGAGGGAAACAACCCAGACCGCCAGCUAAGGUCCCAAAGUCAUGGUUAAGUGGGAAACGAUGUGGGAAGGCCCAGACAGCCAGGAUGUUGGCUUAGAAGCAGCCAUCAUUUAAAGAAAGCGUAAUAGCUCACUGGUCGAGUCGGCCUGCGCGGAAGAUGUAACGGGGCUAAACCAU